CCUACGGGUGGCUGCAGUGGGGAAUAUUGCACAAUGGGGGAAACCCUGAUGCAGCAACGCCGCGUGAGUGAAGAAGGUUUUCGGAUUGUAAAGCUCUGUUAGCAGGGAAGAGGAAGGACGGUACCUGCAGCGGAAGCCACGGCUAACUACGAGCCAGAACCCGCGGUAAUACGUAGGUGGCAAGGGUUGUUCGGAAUAUCUGGGCGUAAAGGAUGCGUAGGCAGUUAAACAAGUUAUAUGGUAAAUAUAUAGGCUUAACCUGUAGAAAGCAUAUAAAACUGUUUAACUAGAGUGCAGGAGAGGUAAGUGGAAUUCCUAGUGUAGCGGUGAAAUGCGUAGAGAUUAGGAAGAACACCGGUGGCGAAGGCGACUUACUGGACUGUAACUGACGCUGAGGCAUGAGAGCAUGGGGAGCGAACAGGAUUAGAUACCCGAGUAGUC
This 441-nucleotide ribosomal RNA is filed under the name uncultured bacterium. Its description in RNAcentral is "partial 16S ribosomal RNA". It matches the Rfam family "Bacterial small subunit ribosomal RNA", at positions 338 to 795 of the family's 1533-position model. The record is from RNAcentral.